UAUACUUAAGUGUAAGAUGCACAAAGAGUUUUGAUCUCUUUAGUUACGGUUUAAUUCCGUAUGGUAUAA
Molecule: transfer RNA, 69 nt
Filed under: Euschistus heros (neotropical brown stinkbug)
Lineage: Eukaryota; Metazoa; Arthropoda; Insecta; Hemiptera; Pentatomidae
Description: tRNA-Gln
Source: RNAcentral